This 73-nucleotide transfer RNA is filed under the name Mustela putorius furo (domestic ferret). It matches the Rfam family "tRNA". Rfam says of the family: Transfer RNA (tRNA) molecules are approximately 80 nucleotides in length. The record is from Rfam by way of RNAcentral. Lineage: Eukaryota; Metazoa; Chordata; Mammalia; Carnivora; Mustelidae.
GCCUGGCUGGCUCAAUCAGUAGAGCAUGUGACUCCUGAUCUCAGGGUCAUGAGUUUGAGCCCCACACUGGGCG